Molecule: transfer RNA, 66 nt
Filed under: Didemnum perlucidum
Lineage: Eukaryota; Metazoa; Chordata; Ascidiacea; Aplousobranchia; Didemnidae
Description: tRNA-Lys
Source: RNAcentral
UUAAAGAAACUUUUUAUUUGAAGUGUUAUAUUUUUAAUAUAAAAAAGUUUUAAAAACCUUUAAUAA